CGCAGCCGCGGUAAUUCCAGCUCCAAUAGCGUAUAUUAAAGUUGUUGCAGUUAAAAAGCUCGUAGUUUAACUUCGGGAUCAAUGGAUUGGUCAUGCCGAUGGUGUGUACUGGUCAUAUUGGUUCUCACCUUCUAAGGAACCAUAAUGUCAUUUAUUUGAUGUUGUGGGGAAUUAGGACUGUUACCUUGAAAAAAUUAGAGUGUUUAAAGCAGGCUAACGCUUGAAUACAUUAGCAUGGAAUAAUGAAAUAGGACAUCGCAUUCUAUUUUGUUGGUUUCUAGGAUCGAUGUAAUGAUUAAUAGGGAUAGUUGGGGGCAUUAGUAUUCAAUUGUCAGAGGUGAAAUUCUUGGAUUUAUUGAAGACUAACUACUGCGAAAGCAUUUGCCAAGGAUGUUUUCAUUAAUCAAGAACGAAAGUUAGGGGAUCGAAGACGAUCAGAUACCGUCGUAGUCUUAACCAUAAACUAUGCCGACUAGGGAUCGGAUGAUGUUGAUUUUUUAAUGACUCAUUCGGCACCUUA
This 520-nucleotide ribosomal RNA is filed under the name uncultured Glomus. Its description in RNAcentral is "SSU rRNA". It matches the Rfam family "Eukaryotic small subunit ribosomal RNA", at positions 569 to 1090 of the family's 1831-position model. The record is from RNAcentral. Lineage: Eukaryota; Fungi; Glomeromycota; Glomeromycetes; Glomerales; Glomeraceae.